CCUACGGGUGGCUGCAGUGAGGAAUAUUGGUCAAUGGACGAGAGUCUGAACCAGCCAAGUCGCGUGAAGGAUGACUGCCCUAUGGGUUGUAAACUUCUUUUAUAUGGGAAUAAAAUGUUCCACGUGUGGGAUUUUGUAUGUACCAUAUGAAUAAGGAUCGGCCAACUCCGUGCCAGCAGCCGCGGUAAUACGGAGGAUCCGAGCGUUAUCCGGAUUUAUUGGGUUUAAAGGGAGCGUAGGUGGAUUGUUAAGUCAGUUGUGAAAGUUUGCGGCUCAACCGUAAAAUUGCAGUUGAAACUGGCAGUCUUGAGUACAGGAGAGGUGGGCGGAAUUCGUGGUGUAGCGGUGAAAUGCUUAGAUAUCACGAAGAACUCCGAUUGCGAAGGCAGUUCACUGGACUGCAACUGACACUGAGGCUCGAAAGUGUGGGUAUCAAACAGGAUUAGAUACCCUUGUAGUC
This 460-nucleotide ribosomal RNA is filed under the name uncultured bacterium. RNAcentral's name for it is "partial 16S ribosomal RNA". It matches the Rfam family "Bacterial small subunit ribosomal RNA", at positions 338 to 795 of the family's 1533-position model. The record is from RNAcentral.